This 714-nucleotide ribosomal RNA is filed under the name Kikihia cauta. RNAcentral's name for it is "partial 16S ribosomal RNA". It matches the Rfam family "Bacterial large subunit ribosomal RNA", at positions 1691 to 2713 of the family's 2925-position model. Lineage: Eukaryota; Metazoa; Arthropoda; Insecta; Hemiptera; Cicadidae. The record is from RNAcentral.
UUAAUAAAUUUUUUUAAAUUAAAAUGAUUAAAUUAGUAUAAUUUUAUGAAUAAUAUUUAUAAUUUAGGCAAAAAAAAUUUUCACCUGUUUAUCAAAAACAUGUCUUUUAGAAAGAAUUAAAAGUCUAAUCUGCCCAAUGAUUAAAAAUUAAAUGGCCGCGGUAAAUUGACCGUGCAAAGGUAGCAUAAUAAAUAGUCUUUUAAUUGGAGGCUUGAAUGAAUGAUUGAAUGAGAAAUUGACUUAAUUAAUAUUAAUAAUUGAAAUUGAUUUUUAAGUAAAAAAGCUUAAAUAUGUAAGUGGGACGAGAAGACCCUAUAGAAUUUUUAAAAUCUUAUUAAGUUUAUUUUUUAUAGUUAAUUAAUUUUUUUUUAUUUAAAUGGUUUUUUUGUUGGGGUGAUAUUAAAAUAUAAUUAACUUUUAAUAAAAAUUUCAUGAAUUUAUGUAACUUUUGAUCCAAAUUUUUGAUUAUAAGAACAAAUUACCUUAGGGAUAACAGCGUAAUUAAUUUGAAGAGUUCAUAUCGAUAAAUAUGAUUGCGACCUCGAUGUUGGAUUAAGAAUAGGGAUUGGAGCAAAAUUUAUUAUUUCUGGGUCUGUUCGACCCUUAAUAUUCUUACAUGAUCUGAGUUCAAACCGGCGUGAGCCAGGUUGGUUUCUAUCUACUUAAUAAUUUUUAAUGUUAGUACGAAAGGACCUCAUUAAAUAAUUUUAUUAU